GGGCCCCCAACUGGAGGAG
Molecule: unclassified non-coding RNA, 19 nt
Filed under: Mus musculus (house mouse)
Lineage: Eukaryota; Metazoa; Chordata; Mammalia; Rodentia; Muridae
Description: oocyte_clustered_small_RNA12858
Source: RNAcentral